This 182-nucleotide non-coding RNA is filed under the name Veronia pacifica. RNAcentral's name for it is "Enterovibrio pacificus Lysine sequence". It matches the Rfam family "Lysine riboswitch aptamer". Rfam says of the family: Riboswitches are metabolite binding domains within certain messenger RNAs that serve as precision sensors for their corresponding targets. Allosteric rearrangement of mRNA structure is mediated by ligand binding, and this results in modulation of gene expression. The record is from Rfam by way of RNAcentral. Lineage: Bacteria; Pseudomonadati; Pseudomonadota; Gammaproteobacteria; Vibrionales; Vibrionaceae.
UAUGCACGUAGAGGUGCGCUAUUUAUCAGUAAUCAGUAGUAGGGUGAUACCUUUGAUCACUUAUGAAAGGAAAUAGCGCCGAAGCAAAACGUAUUUAUCACGUCGUUUUGUUGGGGUUGUUAAUGAAUAGUUACAACACUGCCAUAGUAUUUUGUUAUUCACUAUGGAGCGCUACUGUAGGA